UACGGAGGAUCCGAGCGUUAUCCGGAUUUAUUGGGUUUAAAGGGAGCGUAGGUGGAUUGUUAAGUCAGUUGUGAAAGUUUGCGGCUCAACCGUAAAAUUGCCGUUGAAACUGGAAGACUUGAGUGUGUUUGAGGUAGGCGGAAUGCGUGGUGUAGCGGUGAAAUGCAUAGAUAUCACGCAGAACCCCGAUUGCGAAGGCAGCCUGCCGCAGCGUUACUGACGCUGAAGCUCGAAAGCGCGGGUAUCGAACAGG
This 253-nucleotide ribosomal RNA is filed under the name uncultured Bacteroides sp. RNAcentral describes it as "partial 16S ribosomal RNA". It matches the Rfam family "Bacterial small subunit ribosomal RNA", at positions 524 to 776 of the family's 1533-position model. The record is from RNAcentral. Lineage: Bacteria; Pseudomonadati; Bacteroidota; Bacteroidia; Bacteroidales; Bacteroidaceae.